AGGGCAGUAGCUUAUUAUGGUUAAAGCGCUCACUUCAUGUGAGAGUUCCUGGUUCGAUUCCAGGUUGCCAAA
Molecule: transfer RNA, 72 nt
Filed under: Acidovorax sp. SRB_24
Lineage: Bacteria; Pseudomonadati; Pseudomonadota; Betaproteobacteria; Burkholderiales; Comamonadaceae
Also listed under: 1 other name
Description: tRNA-Sec
Rfam family: tRNA
About the family: Transfer RNA (tRNA) molecules are approximately 80 nucleotides in length. Their secondary structure includes four short double-helical elements and three loops (D, anti-codon, and T loops).
Source: RNAcentral